Periophthalmus magnuspinnatus is the source of this 275-nucleotide long non-coding RNA. RefSeq lists it as uncharacterized. The transcript has 3 exons. The record is from RefSeq and is a predicted model, not a curated record. NCBI's taxonomy places the organism in Eukaryota, Metazoa, Chordata, Actinopteri, Gobiiformes, Gobiidae.
AUAAUCCAUGAGCUGUUUCAUGCUCUUGGUUUCUCAAAGAAACUGUUUGGCACUUGGAGAGACUGUUCCACCUCCUCUUGUCUGGGUUGUUCCCUUCGAGCCAAAAUGAUUCGCCCAGAUGCUUUGGGUCAGAUGAGAAUUUACACCCAGUCUGUGACUUCAGCCCUACAGAAGCACCUGAGGACUACUGAUCCAGAUGUAGGAGGGCCUCUAGAAAAUAAGGAUGCUGAUGCUAAUGGGCUCUCUUCACACUGGGAGUCCCGGGUGAUGCAGGG